This 62-nucleotide transfer RNA is filed under the name Bovicola bovis (cattle chewing louse). RNAcentral's name for it is "tRNA-Tyr". Lineage: Eukaryota; Metazoa; Arthropoda; Insecta; Psocodea; Bovicoliidae. The record is from RNAcentral.
GAAUGGGAAGUCUUGAAUAGAUUCUACACUGUAAAUGUAGAGAAGGUAAAUACCCCUGUUCA